Molecule: ribosomal RNA, 433 nt
Filed under: uncultured bacterium
Lineage: Bacteria
Description: partial 16S ribosomal RNA
Rfam family: Bacterial small subunit ribosomal RNA
Source: RNAcentral
AGCGAACGCUGGCGGCAUGCCUAACACAUGCAAGUCGAACGACACCUUAGGGUCUGCUGGCGCACGGGUGCGUCACGCGUGGGAAGCUGCCCGUAUAUUCGGAAUAACUCCCCUAAAUGGGGGCUAAUGCCGGGUAAUUUAUGCUGACCAAGCAUUUAUCGCCUUUGGGUGGGCCCGAGUUGUCUUAGCUUGUUGGUAGGGUAAAAGCCUAUCAAGGCGAGGAUCCAUAGCUGGGCUGAGAGGCAGAUCAGCCACUCUGGGACGGAGACACGGCCCAGACUCCUACGGGAGGCAGCAGUGGGGAAUAUUGGAAAACGGGCGAAAGCCUGAUCCAGCAAUGCCGCGUGAGUGAUGAAGGCCUUAGGGUUGUACAGCACUUUUACCCGGGAUGAUACUGACAGUACCGGGAGAAUAAGCACCGGCUAACUCCGUG